Molecule: transfer RNA, 90 nt
Filed under: Pseudomonas sp. MRSN 12121
Lineage: Bacteria; Pseudomonadati; Pseudomonadota; Gammaproteobacteria; Pseudomonadales; Pseudomonadaceae
Description: tRNA-Met (CAT) (tRNA-Met-CAT-2-1)
Source: RNAcentral
GGGCCUACAGGAACAAACCCAAUAGAUUCAGGGGCUUUUUAUGGGCUCAUAAUCCUUUGGUCCACGGUUCGAGUCCGUGUGGGCCCACCA